UACGGAGGAUCCGAGCGUUAUCCGGAUUUAUUGGGUUUAAAGGGUGCGUAGGCGGAAAUGUAAGUCAGUGGUGAAAUCCUGCAGCUUAACUGUAGAAUAGACGUUGAAACUGUGUUUCUUGAGUACAUUUGAGGUAGGCGGAAUGUGGUGUGUAGCGGUGAAAUGCAUAGAUAUACCACAGAACACCGAUUGCGAAGGCAGCUUACUAAACUGUCACUGACGCUGAUGCACGAAAGCGUGGGUAUCAAACAGGAUUAGAUA
This 261-nucleotide ribosomal RNA is filed under the name uncultured prokaryote. RNAcentral describes it as "partial 16S ribosomal RNA". It matches the Rfam family "Bacterial small subunit ribosomal RNA", at positions 524 to 784 of the family's 1533-position model. The record is from RNAcentral.